CAAAACAAAACAAAAACUUUUAAAAAUAGAAUAUAUUCAUGAUCAUAUAAAAAUUUUCUUCAGAUAUCUCAAAACUAUUGAGAGUCAUGAUUCUAUUCUACCAAUUAAAAUAAGCCAGGACAAAGAAGUAUAGUCCUUUGGUUAGUGUAUUAGUUUCCUAUAAUAAUUUCCCUAUAAGACUGCUGUAACAAAUUAGCAUAAAUUGGGAGGCUGAAAACAACGGAAAGGUGUUCUCUUAUGGGUCUGGAAGCUGUAAGUCCACAGUCAAGGUGUAGGCAGUGGUUGCUGCAGUCCUUAGUGUCCCUUGGUGACACUAUCCCCUUGUCAUGUGGGUCCGUGACUUCUCUUUUUGUGUGUGUGGGGAGGGGAGACGGGAUUGGAAAUGAAAUCCAGGGUGACAUCCCCCAUCUUUUUUGUGUGGAGACAGGGCCUCACUAAAUUGCCAAAUCUGGCCUUGAACUUGCAAUCCUCCUGCCUCCGCCUCCUGAGUAGCAGGGAUUAGAGGUGUGUGCCACCGCGCCCAGCUGAAAUCUCUCUCUUCUUGUAAAGACACUGGUCAUUGGAUUAGUGCUCCAGCAUGAUCUCAUCUUCCCUUGGGGGAUUAAAAAGGACCUAUUUCCAAAUAAGAUCAAAUUCACAGGUAUCGGGGUUGGGAUUUGAACAUAUGGUUUAUAGGGACUCAAUGCCAUCCAUCACAGUGAGUUUACAAGCAGGAUAUUGCUACCUCGAGUUAAAUACACUUAAAACUACCAAAGGCCAUAACUUUCAGACAAAAAGGAAGACAGCAUGGUGUUUGGUGAUGAAAUAGUCAAGAAUCUUUUUUCAGAGAAGCCCUCUAGGAGUUCUUCCCCUCCAGAGAGGGACACCAUAUAAUCACAUUUUUGAGCCUCUAUUUCUGUGUGGUAGGCACCAUCAGUCUGAUUAAUACGAUGUACAUGACUGUUUUCUGUUAGGGCUGUGGGGAAUGAGAGGCAGAGCAUCGAAGGAAUGUUCUCAUGGGCCCUAAGAGGGUCAGGGUAAGCUAUAGAUGGAGGCACCCUAAUUCUGGUCCCAAGAGCAAGACUGCUGGUGUGGAAGGAUGGGGAGGGGAGGCGGGGGACAGAUGCUUCCUGCCUUCUCUCUGUACCUGCCACGGUCUAUUGGAGCUGCUCUUUCUGUUUGUGCAGUGUUGCCUCCAGCACCUCAGCAAAUUUCUGACCAAUGGACAGAGUUAAAAUAAGCCACUCAUACAAUAUUCUACAACAGGGACCCAUUGUCACGGAGGUCAGGUGGCCACCAGCUAAGCAUUAUUGUCCUGAUCUGUACCGUCCAUUGUUUUGUUGUCGGAUGAAACCAUGAAAUGUGAGCCUUCUUUCUGCAUCUGGAAAUAAACAACCAAACUGAACUCGGUCCCACGCUACCCCAGAUGCCGUCUUUUCCCUCAACAGCCUUGUUUUUCCAGCUUCCCCUCAAAAACCAUUUUAUUCCCUCAAUCACAACUAUGUGCUAGCUUUAGAAAACUGAUCACCCAACGUCACAGCAGAUAGCAGCUCUCUUUGUUUCCUUUAGGAUCUCCAGACCCUCGAGAGGCAAGUCCUAUGGCCUGAAGAUUGCAUCUUCAUGUAAGAGAAAAACAAAUAACCAGAUUUCUUCUGUCUCUUCUGCCUUAAAAAUGAAAUUUUAUAUGAUUUAUUUUUUCAACGCUAAGAUAAACAUGUAAUCUUUCAUAUUCUCUCUCCCUCUCCCUCCCCCCCCCUCUCUCUCUCUCAUCACACAUUUAAAACUGUGUUUAUUGAAUAUCUCGUUUUUCGUUUGGGAGAUGCCAGAAGAGCCUGAGGCCCUUCAGCCUCGCUUAUUCUGGAGGCAGAAAAAAGUGGAGCCCAAACCUGGAGCCUGAAAGUUCUCUCCGACACACAGCCCAGGCCAAGAACAAUUUACUGCUGAUUCCUUUUAGAAGAUUUUGUUCAUCAGAACUGUUUCCCACAAGAUCCUCUUUCAAUUCUGCAAUCUCUCCUCACACCACCGCCCCCCAGUCCUGUGAACUGCUCCUAAAGCCCCAAUUACAUCUGCAUCUUAUUAGACAAUCAUGAUCUGCCGCGCAGGACCCAGCAACCACUGGAAUGAGCAGCUUAUCAUUUAAUUCCACUCACCCACCCCUCCCCUGCCUCCACAGAGGGGUGCUCUUUGCAGACAAAGGAUAAGUCUUAUCCAUCUCCACAUCUGGGACUGAUACUCUCUAUUUAUUUGCAACAACUGAAAUAAUGUCUGCCCCAUAGUAGGUGUCCAAGACAUCUGUAUAGUGUCUGAAGUACUUUGGGCUGAAGUAUCAGGCAGAGAGUAGAGACAGGAACCAAAUAUUAGUCCUAUCAUCUCUCAAUCUGGAAACUGUCCUUAGACCAUGAGAUGCUCUAUGACUGGUGGUGCCUGGUGGCGUCUCCAUGGCGACGGAGGAAGGUGCAGCAGUUCUCUAGGAGGGUCCCUCCCAAGCGGACCAGAGUGCGCUCACCACCCCUUUGCCUGCCUUUACUCGUCUUUGCCAAAUCAAACCAUGUACCCAAGGUCCAGGUGGAUCUCACAGAGGAUCUCUCAGGAGCCAAAGAAACGUGGCACUCACACAACUCCCCUGCACUGGCCCUAAUGGAGAGGUCCUGGAACAAGGCCUCCAGAAAGAGGGCGCCCACAAACAUGCUCCUUCUGUCCCCGAUUCUGCCCGUCUGCCCUCUCUGCCCUCUUCCUCCUCACCCGCUCUCCUGCAACUAGACCGGAUGCCCUACCCUUUUUCUCUUCAUGGCUCACCCUUCACCCGAACCCCGGGGAUUUUUUUGUUUUGUUUUGCCUGCUUACUCUAUCAGCUCCUGAAAAAUGUGGCCUAAAAUCUCCCACUAUUAUUGUCCACUCCCCUUUUUAUUUGUGUCCAUGUUGUCAUGCAUUUUAAGUUAUUUUAUCAGGUGCCAGACAACACACACAUGGAAAAAUUACAGAUAGAAUUUGUGAAUCCGAAUGAUGAAAAGCUUGAGCCUUGCUUCUGACAAGCAGUUUAGGGUCUGGCAGAUGUCAUUAAUCCAGUGGUUUUCAACCAGAGGGGAUUAGUGGGCACCUGGCACACCACUGGAAUCCCAGCUACUUGAGAGGCUGAGGCAGGACAGCAUUACAAGUUUGAGGUCAGCCAGGGCAAUUUAGCAAGACCCUGAUUCAAAAUGAAAACCAAAAAAAAAAAAAGGGGGGGACAUUUGGCCCUGUCUGAAUGCGGUUUGGGUC
Non-coding RNA from Ictidomys tridecemlineatus (thirteen-lined ground squirrel), 3237 nucleotides. The record is from RefSeq and is a predicted model, not a curated record. NCBI's taxonomy places the organism in Eukaryota, Metazoa, Chordata, Mammalia, Rodentia, Sciuridae.